GGGGGGGGGGGGGGGGGGGGCGGGCGGGGGGGGGGGGAGCGGGAGGGGCGGGGGGGGGGGCGGGCGGGGGCGGGGCGCGGGGGAACCUGCCCAUAGGUUCGGAAUAACGCCCGGAAAGGGGGGCCAAUACCGGAUGAUGUCUCCGGGACAACGAUUUAUCGCCUUUGGCUGGGCCCGCAUUGGAUUAGCUCGUUGGUAGGGUAAAAGCCUACCAAGGCGACGGUCCAUAGCUGGUCUGAGAGGAUGAUCAGCCACACUGGGACUGAGACCCGGCCCAGACUCCUACGGGAGGCAGCAGUGGGGAAUAUUGGACAACGGGCGAAAGCCUGAUCCAGCAAUGCCGCGUGAGUGAUGAAGGCCUUAGGGUUGUAAAGCUCUUUUACCCGGGAUGAUAAUGACAGUACCGGGAGAAUAAGCUCCGGCUAACUCCGUG
This 433-nucleotide ribosomal RNA is filed under the name uncultured bacterium. RNAcentral's name for it is "partial 16S ribosomal RNA". It matches the Rfam family "Bacterial small subunit ribosomal RNA", at positions 39 to 507 of the family's 1533-position model. The record is from RNAcentral.